RNAcentral lists this ribosomal RNA (301 nucleotides) under uncultured bacterium. RNAcentral's name for it is "partial 16S ribosomal RNA". It matches the Rfam family "Bacterial small subunit ribosomal RNA", at positions 509 to 808 of the family's 1533-position model. The record is from RNAcentral.
CAGUCGCCACGGGAACACGUAGGUCCCGAGCGUUGUCCGGAUUUAUUGGGCGUAAAGCGAGCGCAGGCGGUUAGAUAAGUCUGAAGUUAAAGGCUGUGGCUUAACCAUAGUACGCUUUGGAAACUGUUUAACUUGAGUGCAAGAGGGGAGAGUGGAAUUCCAUGUGUAGCGGUGAAAUGCGUAGAUAUAUGGAGGAACACCGGUGGUGAAAGCGGCUCUCUGGCUUGUAACUGACGCUGAGGCUCGAAAGCGUGGGGCGCAAACAGGAUUAGAUACCCGCGUAGUCCCUGUCUCUUAUACA